UACGAAGGGGGCUAGCGUUGCUCGGAAUCACUGGGCGUAAAGCGCACGUAGGCGGCUUUGUAAGUCAGAGGUGAAAGCCUGGAGCUCAACUCCAGAACUGCCUUUGAGACUGCAUCGCUUGAAUCCAGGAGAGGUGAGUGGAAUUCCGAGUGUAGAGGUGAAAAUUCGUAGAUAUUCGGAAAGAACACCAGUGGCGAAGGCGGCUCACUGGACUGGUAUUGACGCUGAGGUGCGAAAGCGUGGGGAGCAACAGGG
This 255-nucleotide ribosomal RNA is filed under the name uncultured bacterium. Its description in RNAcentral is "partial 16S ribosomal RNA". It matches the Rfam family "Bacterial small subunit ribosomal RNA", at positions 524 to 776 of the family's 1533-position model. The record is from RNAcentral.